This 790-nucleotide ribosomal RNA is filed under the name uncultured archaeon. RNAcentral's name for it is "bacterial SSU rRNA". It matches the Rfam family "Archaeal small subunit ribosomal RNA", at positions 85 to 876 of the family's 1478-position model. The record is from RNAcentral.
ACGGCUCAGUAACACGUGGACAACCUGCCCAAAGGUCCGGGAUAACCCCGGGAAACUGGGGAUAAUACCGGAUAAAUCACAAGUACUGGAAGGUUUUGUGGUUGAAACUUCCGGGGCCUUUGGAUGGGUCUGCGGCUGAUUAGGUUGUUGCCGGUGUAACGUACCGUCAAGCCUGUAAUCAGUACGGGUUGUGGGAGCAAGAGCCCGGAGAUGGAUUCUGAGACACGAAUCCAGGCCCUACGGGGCGCAGCAGGCGCGAAAACUCUACAAUGCAGGCAACUGCGAUAGGGGAACAUCGAGUGAUACUCAUCUUGGGUGUCUGUCCUCCCGUCUAAAAAACGGGAGUUAGCAAGGGCCGGGCAAGACCGGUGCCAGCCGCCGCGGUAAUACCGGCGGCUCGAGUGGUGGCCGAUAUUAUUGAGUCUAAAGGGUCCGUAGCCGGCUUCGCAAGUCUUUUGGGAAAUCCAGCGGCUUAACCGUUGGUCGUCCGGGAGAUACUACAUUGCUUGGGACUGGGAGAGGUAGGAGGUACUCAGGGGGUAGGAGUGAAAUCCUGUAAUCCUUUGGGGACCACCGGUGGCGAAGGCGUCCUACCAGAACAGGUCCGACGGUGAGGGACGAAAGCUAGGGGCACGAACCGGAUUAGAUACCCGGGUAGUCCUAGCCGUAAACGAUGCUCGCUAGGUGUCACAACAAUCGUGAAUUGUUGUGGUGCCGUAGGGAAGCCGUGAAGCGAGCCACUUGGGAAGUACGACCGCAAGGUUGAAACUUAAAGGAAUUGGCGGGGGAG